CAUGAACAGAACAUAGAGUUGAUACUUAAGGUUGCAGACUUUCUAUUAUAUAGCAAUUUAAUUUAGUAAGUAUUUUUCCCUGGUUCUGUAAGCAAAUAUUGGCUAGCAUUUGAAAGUAGAAACUGAGACUAAAGUAGGUCUAAAAUGAGAGUGAUCUUUCAUAUUUAUUAUAAUCAAAUGGUAUUAGUAAAAAUUAAUAGUGUAUAUUGUAGGUCUAGGUGUGGGUUUGAAAUACUCCAUUGCACACAGCUUGUUAUUUGAGUCAGAUCCAUUUAUUUGGGGGGGCUACCCGUAAAGCCAGAUUAAAUCACAGCCAGCAGUGUUUUAGCACAUCUGAGUCUUAGAGUUGAGGGGCCUCAGCACUGGCCUAGAGCCGUUUCCUGCGAAGCAGGGCUCCUUCCUGGUGACCUCACCAGCAGGUGCUGUGCAGACUCUUCCUGAAGAGUUUUGGGAAAGCCGGGGCUGCUGUCUCACCACUUUGAAGGGCACCGUUUGUUCUAGAACUUCCUAAAACUUGGAAUUAACCAUGUGUUAUUUUAGAAGACAUAAACAUUUUAAAUUUGGUUUUCAAUGUCAACCUUACUUAAAAGGCUUCGUAAAUGUAACAUUGUCUGGUUUGGUUUGGUUUUUCUCAUAGUUCUCCCCAAUGCAUAAGUUGUUUUUCCCAUUGUCUUAAUCUGAAAAUAUUUUCUUUUUGUGUUUAUGAUGGCAAAGGGGGAGGGGCGUUUGCUUUUUAAAUGGAACAGUCAUGACUUUGGCUCUCCCUUUCUAAGGCAACUAGAUUGGUUACUGUCACUCACUUAAUGGUCCUCCAACAUGGGCAGAAGCAUUUCAUUCAGGUCAAUGCCUGAGAAGCAAUGCUAGCACCUGUGGGGAAGGAAUCCAGGUUGGGAGCGCCCUUGGAGAAGGGAGCAAAUCUGUUCCCAGAGCACACGAAGGUGCCAAAAUGACCAGCACGCAUAGCUCCUCCUACAGCACUUAGUUCAGGGAGACUGGGGUUCUAGUGUACAUCAAAUGCUAGGUGAGAAGGCUGGGAAACAAUGUUUCGAUUGUCCUUUAGAGGAACAGGUAUUGGGACAUCACCUAGCGUUGGUGUUCAAACUCCACCCAUUGUUGGGAAAUGAUUGUACCUGGUUUUGCUAACUGACCGCCAUCAGCAUCAACAAGUAAAUUACAAUAAUGUAACACACACUGUGAUAACCCUGCCUCCCACUGAAGAGAAGCUGUGCUGACCUUGCUGCUGUCCAUGUUACCAGGUAACAGUAUUGAGAUGAGCCGCCAGAGCCCCUAAACCCUCAGCAGCAAUUGCCCAUGUGUACCCACCAAAUUACCUACUUUAAACCAUUUUCUGACCAGUUACAUCACCCUCAUAGCGGUCCAAGUGACUUGUCAGCUGAAGAAUUCCACCCAGAAUGAAUGUAUUUAUAGAGAAAAGAUCUGUAUCCAGCGCCCUUUGUAAAAUCUUCAAUCAUGUGGGUGCAUGUUUAUUUCUAACCAAAACUUUGUUUCUGAUUUCCAAGGGCUAGAGCUGAAGGUGUUUUUAUAGCCUUUUGGUUGCUGGUUCUGUUAGUUGCCUGAUAAGCAGGAGCUAAUUAAAGGUUCCCAAAAUAUGAAAGGAGCCUCUACGUACUGGGACACAGGGCCGCCUCUGGCGCAGGUUCUCCUGUUAGAAUGUGCCUCUGCUCGUCAGUGGGGUAGAUGCUCCUGUUGGCAGAAGUCGCUUGCAUUGGCCUUUCAUUGAUGUCCCAGCUCUCUGCCUGGUGUGCUGAGGUUCUUACCCGCCUCCCCCCUUCCUCUCUCCACCCUCCCCCAGUUUUUAUUUUUAAAAGCAGUGUUACAAAGUGCAUUUCUGUGAGUCCAUUGACAGGGCUCUAUUAUUUUAGAUGGCAGUUAGAACAGGUCUUUGACCCCUUUGAAAGCCCUUCAGGGCCAACCUUGACAAAGUCACUCCAUGGACAUGAAUCUUAUUUUUAUUUGCAUGGGCUUUUUUUCAAAUCCUUUCUAGAAGAAUAUGAGACAUUCUUACAAUAUAAGGAAUAAAAUUGUUCUCACAUCAAGGAUCAGUCUAUUUUGUAUCUUCCUCUUAUGUGCCAUCUGCCAUUAUCUCUAUUAACUCCCCCCUCCCCAAGGCAAUGACAUGUUUUGCUUGAUACCUCCAACAUUUAGUAAGUAGUAGCUUUCCUUUACCUGCUUUCCUGAAUUCCAUAUUUAUAUGCUUUAUGAAAGAUUUUAAAAGUAGAUUGAUUCUAACAGGGCUAGAAUCAUGAAGUAUUAAAUUAUAACGAACUUUUUCCCUCUUCUGAGGUUAUUUAGGAGAACUACGUGUAAUAUGUUUCUUUUGUUGCUGUAGAUAUGCACUUAUUUUAAUGUCCUUGAAAUGCUUUAUUAUAAUGAUAAUUGAUAUGGCCUUUGUUUAAAAGUAAACUAUCCCUGAUAAAUAAUAAAUUUUUAUAUUCUAUUUAUUGAAAAUGUCCAGAAUUGCACAGCUACUUGGCUUCAACCGUUACAAAGAGGCAUAUGCUUUUUCCCUUUGUGGACUUGAAGUUAGUUUACUUCUGGUUCAAGCAAGUCCGCAUGAGUUUUAUGUGGGCUUUAAAACACCCAUGAAUGAAAAAGUAAAUGUAGGGGACUGGGAUUGUGGCUCAGCGGUAGAGCGCUCACCUAGCAUGGACGGGACCCAGGUUCGAUCCUCAGCACCACAUAAAAAUAAAGGCAUUGUGUUGUGUCCAUCUACACCAAAAAAAUAAAUAUUAAAAAAAGUGAAUGUAUUUUAGAAAUGUGAUAUUUUCUUCUUUGGAGAAUUUGGCCAGAGAGCUUUAUAUAUGGGCUUUAUUCUUAACAAAGCAGUAAGGGCUUACUUUUUACCAACUUCUGUGUGUGUAAAGAUGUACUGUUUGAGCUUUAAGAAAAGAAUAAACUUGUCCACGUACAAACACCUGAUAUCUGACCUGGAUUUGU
Molecule: long non-coding RNA, 2958 nt
Filed under: Marmota monax (woodchuck)
Lineage: Eukaryota; Metazoa; Chordata; Mammalia; Rodentia; Sciuridae
Source: RNAcentral